UGGCUGCGCGUCACGCGUCUGCGAGGCCGUACGCGCCUGUCCUACGCGUCUAGAGAGGGCAGACGCGCAGGAAACGCGCGCGUCAAGGAGGUCUUGAUCUUGGGCGUCAUUUUGAGCGUACGCGACGGAAGUGGCAGCUUGUGCACGGACGUCACGUGGGCCGCAUGUACACUUCCGGUGGUUCGGAAAGGUUGUUGAAGUUUCAGAAUCGUGCGGAGACGCCGGGAGUCGCCGCUGGUUUCGUGUCGAUAGAUCACAAAGGCUAUGGAGGCGAUCAACAACGAAGCGCUGAUCGCCUGCGUUGAGGCUCGACCUGCGCUUUGGUAUCAGGCGAAACACAAGCGCCACUAGAACAAGCACUUGACGAGGUGGUCGUGGAUCGUCAUGCCCAACGCUGCCGAACAGAUGACGUUAUCACAGCGCUGCAGAAGUGAUGGAAGUCCCUGGGGAAUAAAUUUCGGCGCCUGGGAAGACGUUUCAGAAAGAAAAGAGCCGCGCCGUGCCAGUCGACGUUCACGACGACGUCAUCUGGCUGUUUUUCGACCAGAUGAUAUUUCUGCGCUACACAAUGGAGUGUAGACCGAUGUCCGCCAACCUUCCACCAGUGCCCCCAUCGAGUGACGAGGGAAGUGCUGCAGACAUCUUAACAAAAAAUGUGCCAGUUUUCCGACCUGGCAACACUUGAAGUGCCAUCACCGUCAAGUGAAUAGUCACAAGCGCC
Long non-coding RNA from Dermacentor albipictus, 721 nucleotides. RefSeq lists it as uncharacterized. The record is from RefSeq and is a predicted model, not a curated record. NCBI's taxonomy places the organism in Eukaryota, Metazoa, Arthropoda, Arachnida, Ixodida, Ixodidae.